UACGUAGGUGGCGAGCGUUGUCCGGAAUUACUGGGUGUAAAGGGCGUGUAGGCGGGAUUGCAAGUCAGAUGUGAAAUUCCAAGGCUCAACUUUGGAGCUGCAUCUGAAACUGUAAUUCUUGAGUGCUGGAGAGGAUAGUGGAAUUCCUAGUGUAGCGGUGAAAUGCGUAGAUAUUAGGAGGAACACCAGUGGCGAAGGCGGCUAUCUGGACAGUAACUGACGCUGAGGCGCGAAAGCGUGGGGAGCAAACAGG
RNAcentral lists this ribosomal RNA (253 nucleotides) under uncultured bacterium. RNAcentral's name for it is "partial 16S ribosomal RNA". It matches the Rfam family "Bacterial small subunit ribosomal RNA", at positions 524 to 776 of the family's 1533-position model. The record is from RNAcentral.